UUGGCAGCCUUAGAGGCUUGCUCUGCUUUAAAGAUGAGAGAGGGAGUCAGAAAGCAGGUUCUCUUACAUUUCAUCAAGAACCAUCCUUCAGUGUCAUCACUGACUUUUUUUUUUUUUUUCAGCAAAAGGCCAAAUUUUAUAUAAAGAGUUUAUGGAAAUUGGUAAGAAAGACAACUGGAAUAUCUAAUUUAUAAAUGAACAGCCCUCCCCUCACAGGCACGCACAAAACCAAACAAGGAAAAAACCUUCCAAAACCAAGCCAAAGCAAACAAAACCCAAACAAAGCCCAAGAACACACAACUCUCAAGGGAGGAGCUACACUUGGUAAAAGAAAAGCUUAAGGAAACAAAAGUUGACCCUCCCUGUAAGAAGUGAAACUAAAGAAGAACCAAAAUACCAGGAGCACCUCUUAAGUCAACAAAAACAUACCAACAGACAAGACCAAGUAAAGCUAUUGUUGCUGGCAUACUGAAACCGCAGAAACACUUUAAAAAACAUUUAGGCAUUGAUAUCAAAUACCAAAACCACAGUGAUCCCCCUUGGCCUGCUCUUUUGGAACUAUAACCCCCAGGAAACAUUCUACAUAAGACAAUACUAAUAUUUAACAGGACCUUUAGCCUCAUCCAAAAUAGUGAUAAAAAGCAGCGAGGAAAACAUCCAAUAAAAUGGCAAAUUCACUAAAGUACAUCCAUUCAUUGGAAUACUACACAACCAUCUAAAUGAUACUCUUAAGGCUAUGUAGCAAUAGGAAAAUGCUUAUAGUGUGGCAAGUGAAAUGUGAAUAUAAAACUAACUAUAUUUUAUCAUCACAACUAUGCAAGUCCUGUGCAUGUACAUGGAGAUUAAAGAGAGAUGGAUGCAGCAAAACACAACUUCCUAUUCCGCAAAGUCUGGCUGCCUCUCCCAGAGUGUUGGGCUCCGUGGAGGGCACAGGAAUUUACACAUUAAAGCCUUCAGAACUUCUCUAGAGGCCUGAUUCAGGAUGGACUUGGACUAAUUUUUAUAUUAUACAACACGAACAUGAUGAACUUUCAUGGAUUUUUAUGUCAGAGGUCAAGGUGCUUACUUUGCUUUGAUUUAUUGUUUUCUUCUAGUGCUCAAACUGCACCUCUCAUAGAUAUAGCCUGGUGAUGCUCUCCCAAUUUCAGCCUCUCUGUUCUGGCAAGACAGACCUAGAUACUAUUUCUGCCUAUGGAAUUUCAACCCGGGCUCUACGUAAAAUGAGCUUGCUGUGUCCUCUACAUUUUUAUUUACAGGAGUUUGGUUGCAAUCAUCAUGAAAGGACUCUCCCAUGGAGUUUUGGUGCAUUCAUAUCUAGUAAAACUGGGUUAUCACAA
Molecule: long non-coding RNA, 1337 nt
Organism: Neofelis nebulosa (Clouded leopard)
Lineage: Eukaryota; Metazoa; Chordata; Mammalia; Carnivora; Felidae
Exons: 2
Source: RefSeq, a predicted model, not a curated record